This 472-nucleotide ribosomal RNA is filed under the name uncultured bacterium. RNAcentral describes it as "bacterial SSU rRNA". It matches the Rfam family "Bacterial small subunit ribosomal RNA", at positions 355 to 825 of the family's 1533-position model. The record is from RNAcentral.
UGGGGAAUAUUGGACAAUGGGCGAAAGCCUGAUCCAGCCAUGCCGCGUGUGUGAAGAAGGUCUUCGGAUUGUAAAGCACUUUAAGUUGGGAGGAAGGGCAGUUACCUAAUACGUGAUUGUUUUGACGUUACCGACAGAAUAAGCACCGGCUAACUCUGUGCCAGCAGCCGCGGUAAUACAGAGGGUGCAAGCGUUAAUCGGAAUUACUGGGCGUAAAGCGCGCGUAGGUGGUUAGUUAAGUUGGAUGUGAAAUCCCCGGGCUCAACCUGGGAACUGCAUUCAAAACUGACUGACUAGAGUAUGGUAGAGGGUGGUAGAAUUUCCUGUGUAGCGGUGAAAUGCGUAGAUAUAGGAAGGAACACCAGUGGCGAAGGCGACCACCUGGACUGAUACUGACACUGAGGUGCGAAAGCGUGGGGAGCAAACAGGAUUAGAUACCCAUGUAGUCCCUGAGCGGGCUGGCAAGGCGCAU